RNAcentral lists this microRNA precursor (98 nucleotides) under Sorghum bicolor (sorghum). Lineage: Eukaryota; Viridiplantae; Streptophyta; Magnoliopsida; Poales; Poaceae. The record is from RNAcentral.
UAGCCAAGGAUGACUUGCCUAGCUAUAUGCCUGAGAGCCUGUCUCUUGGUGGUAAAUUUGUAUGUGCUGAGCAUAUAGGCAUGUCUUCCUUGGCUACU